Brassica napus (rape) is the source of this 1735-nucleotide RNA transcript. It is a transcript of the gene named phosphatidylinositol-glycan biosynthesis class F protein, with no coding region annotated. The transcript is spliced from 9 exons. NCBI's taxonomy places the organism in Eukaryota, Viridiplantae, Streptophyta, Magnoliopsida, Brassicales, Brassicaceae. The record is from RefSeq and is a predicted model, not a curated record.
AAGACGAGAGAGAAGGAAAAGCCAUGAAAGAAGCUAAGCAGAAGAAGCUGGAAACCUCCAUUGGGGUAUCUAGCAAUGGUUCGAUAUCAGCGCUGGGUGCGUUUUCUGUUUACUUGAUGACUGGAUUGUUUCUGGCCGUCGGAUUCUGGGUGGCUCGAUACAAAUUUUCAGUCGAUCUCGUCUCUGAUCCAUCUCGAACUCUGUUUCUCCUCUGGAGUAUUGAGUUUCCGGUUGUGGUGAUCGUCUACAGCUUUCUACGGAAAGCCCCAACGGAAUGUUCGUGUUGUAAGGCUGUUGGGCGAAGCAUCUUAGGACUUAUUUCAGGGGCUCUUAUGAAUGCUUUGGGAGCAGUUGCUUUGGGUGCACCUAUUGGAGCGCAAUAUCUACCAAAAACAAUUCACUGGUCCUUUCUUAUGUCUGUUUUCACGUUUGUACCAGCAACUGUAGUAUUUGGUGCAUCAUUGACAGAUUGGCAUCGUGUAUUCGCUUCCGUGAAACCUAGUGGAAAUAUAGAGUAUAUGAUCCUUGUUCCAGCAUAUGGAGCAAUUAUUGGAGGAUGGUUUGGAGCUUGGCCUAUGCCGCUUGACUGGGAAAGGCCAUGGCAGGAAUGGCCAAUAUGUGUGUGUUAUGGAGCUAUAGGAGGCUACAUUGUUGGACAAAUUGUCUCCUUGUGUUUGAUCUUGUUUCUCAGGAAACACAAGAGUUUGAAAGUAGCCUAGAAUGGAUUGACGGUACCCAAAACGAAUUUCUUUUUGUUUUGACUUGAUUACUAGCUAGAUUGAGAGGCAACAAACAAUAGGACAAGAUUUUUGUGAGCUUGAACAGAGGAAGUCAGGAUCAUCAGGCACAUAUCAAAAAACCAAUCUUCUCCAAAACCAUUCAGAUUACUGACAAUGGACGCAGGCUCAUUGAAAGUCUUAUGGAUUGGGCUAGGCUCAAUUUAGUUGAUGCCUAUAAUAUAAUCAGCGUACCAGAUGCCUUGUCGUUUUUUUUUUAUUUUAAAAACCGACAAGGAGUUAAAAGUUGCCUUGUUUUUAUGUUAAUGGACAUUAUUUAUGGGUUAAUUUCACUGAUAUGAGUUAGAAGAUAAUAAAAUAAUAAUUUCUUAAAAAGACACAUCAUAACAUUUAUACAAAUCAAACAACAGUAAUCGUCAUUCAGUGUAAUCAGUAGAUCCAAGACAUAGAUCAGUUCUCUGUCACUACAAAAAAAAAAAAACAGAGCGGAUGGAUGUACAUAGAAUCUAUAGAUUCCGUUAUUUUUUUUAUCUAAAUUUGCAACAGAGUAAAUAAAGUAUUGUACUUGAUACCAACGCACAGUGUUGACUGUACACUGCAGAGAUCAUGGACAAACUCUGUCGGAUGUCGUGGCGAGCGGUUAUUGGCUGAAAUGGUCUCAUUUGGGCCUCACUCUCACAUGAAUGUGUUCAAUGCUGCGAAAGUGCGUGAGCUCCGUGUCUGAAACAUAUGGUAAAACGCCGUAAAAAGAUGGCAUACCCGAAAAGGGUGGUGUGGUUACCAUUUACUUGCAUUUCUCAUUUAUAUCUCGCCCUCAUCCUUCUCUCUUUCUUUUUUUUUUUUUUUUUGUCAUUUUCUCUCUUUCUUUUUAAUAGACAUGACAAGACUGUUAACAUUUUGAUUGGUUUGAAGUUUGUAGACAAAAAAAUAUCAUAUCAGUAAACGGUCUGACUGUUAAAUGAUGGCAUGUAUUGACUGAUAUAAGAGAACUUACAUCA